This 118-nucleotide ribosomal RNA is filed under the name Lepisosteus oculatus (spotted gar). The record is from RNAcentral. Lineage: Eukaryota; Metazoa; Chordata; Actinopteri; Semionotiformes; Lepisosteidae.
GUCAGCAGCCAUAUCACCCUGCAGCUCACAGCUGGCAGCCCACUGAAGCUCAGCAGGUGUGAGCCUGGCCAGUACUUAGAUGGGAGACCUCCUGGGAAAGCUAAGACUGCUGCUGGAA